Molecule: small RNA, 125 nt
Filed under: Pseudomonas aeruginosa
Lineage: Bacteria; Pseudomonadati; Pseudomonadota; Gammaproteobacteria; Pseudomonadales; Pseudomonadaceae
Description: partial 6S RNA
Rfam family: 6S / SsrS RNA
About the family: E. coli 6S RNA was the first non coding RNA to be sequenced, but its function was unknown until recently. It consists of 184 nucleotides that fold into an extended hairpin structure with a large single-stranded internal bulge. The 6S RNA specifically associates with RNA polymerase holoenzyme containing the sigma70 specificity factor.
Source: RNAcentral
AAUGUGGCGCUCCACGGUUGGUGAGCAUGCUCGGUUCGUCCGAGAAGCCUUAAAACCGUGACGACAUAUUCACCUUGAACCAAGGGUUCAAGGGUUACAGCCUGCGGCGGCAUCUCGGAGAUUCC